This 484-nucleotide ribosomal RNA is filed under the name uncultured bacterium. RNAcentral's name for it is "partial 16S ribosomal RNA". It matches the Rfam family "Bacterial small subunit ribosomal RNA", at positions 29 to 507 of the family's 1533-position model. The record is from RNAcentral.
AUUGAACGCUGGCGGCAUGCUUUACACAUGCAAGUCGAACGGCAGCGCGGGCUUCGGCCUGGCGGCGAGUGGCGAACGGGUGAGUAAUACAUCGGAACGUGCCCAGUAGCGGGGGAUAGCUCGGCGAAAGCCGGAUUAAUACCGCAUACGACCUGAGGGUGAAAGCGGGGGAUCUUCGGACCUCGCGCUAUUGGAGCGGCCGAUGGCAGAUUAGCUAGUUGGUGGGGUAAAGGCCUACCAAGGCGACGAUCUGUAGCUGGUCUGAGAGGACGACCAGCCACACUGGGACUGAGACACGGCCCAGACUCCUACGGGAGGCAGCAGUGGGGAAUUUUGGACAAUGGGCGAAAGCCUGAUCCAGCAAUGCCGCGUGUGUGAUGAAGGCCUUCGGGUUGUAAAGCACUUUUGGCGGGAACGAAAAGGACUGUGCCAAUACCACGGUUCGAUGACGGUACCCGCAGAAUAAGCACCGGCUAACUACGUG